Molecule: long non-coding RNA, 1178 nt
Organism: Cyclopterus lumpus (lumpfish)
Lineage: Eukaryota; Metazoa; Chordata; Actinopteri; Perciformes; Cyclopteridae
Exons: 7
Source: RefSeq, a predicted model, not a curated record
GGAGUAGAGCCGCUCCGUCUCGUGAGCUACUGACGGCGUUUCGGUGUCAAUUAUUUCGUUAAAUGAGUGAAAAACAACUAGCUCACAUACGAUCUUGCAACCAAGAAGGAAGCGCUGCAGAAAAGCGUCAACACUAGGCCGAAUGAGAAGAAUAAGAAAAACGCCACGUUGAUUUUUGAAGUCUCAGCUCUGCAAUACCAAUUCAGAAACCUCGAAAAAGAGAUGCACAAUGACAACGCAACAUCGUCUUCAACAAUUACUCACUUGUCUAGAGCUGAGGAAGCGACUGCGGGCCAAAACGGCGGAGCACUCUCGGGUUCAAGCUAAGCUCCAGGCCCUUCAGACUCUGCUUCAAGCCAAAGAAAGGGAACAUGCUGCUGCUCAGGCUGAAGAGAGAGCUGCAGAGGAAACUGCGUUUGAAGAGUGAAGAAUGCUCUCGUCUUGAGAGAAGGCAUCAGGAGGUAAAGGCUGAACUGGAACAGAAGAUUGCAGAGCUGAACAGAACCGGAGACUCCAAAGCAGCACUCAGUGAGUGACGUCACACUGCAGCGUGGCCUUUGUAACUUCAGUGCAAUGUUCACAUAUAGCAGACACGCCCUUUUACAUGAGAGCCGUCUCCUGCUCAGUUGGUUCCAGAAGCAUGAACUGUGUGGUGAUGUCUGCUCUGUUUACCCGAGUCAGUUCUCAACGUGAUAAAUCUGCACGAGGAUCCGAAGACUCUGAAUCACCGGAUCUCCACCACACAGAUCCAGACCUGAUCUCAGGUGAACAGUUCACUCUGCGAAUGUGUGUCUGUAUUGUUUUUUCCAUUUGGUUCAACCAAAUGUAACUAGUGAGUUCAAAAACAACAACAGGUAUUGAGAAGACCAAAUGACGUUGAGAUUGAAUGGAGGCGCCCGGAUAGUAACUCCGAGGGCAGUGGGCUAAACAUGUAGCACGUCACCACCCACCCACCAGGCCCCACCACGCGAGGCCCACAAACACGUCUUAGGGAUUUCCAACGAGAACCAUCCUCUUGUUAAAUUGAACCACCGCUUUAAUCCAACUCCAGGCAGAACAAACACAUGUCUACAGGAACCCUCCUUCUAGCCUCCCCGAGGACCACAUUGAUGCAGCUUCUGCUCAGACCCGGCCACAAAAGGACACUGUUUUCUGGAAAUGUGGCAAUUUUAGUAACA